UUGAACGCUGGCGGCAGGCCUAACACAUGCAAGUCGAGCGGCAGCGCGGGGCAACCUGGCGGCGAGCGGCGGACGGGUGAGUAACGCGUAGGAAUCUACCCAGUAGCGGGGGAUAGCCCGGGGAAACUCGGCUUAAUACCGCAUACGCCCUAAGGGGGAAAGCAGGGGAUCUUCGGACCUUGCACUAUUGGCAGAGCCUGCGUGGGAUUAGCUAGUUGGUAGGGUAAAGGCCUACCAAUGCAACGAUCCAUAACUGGUCUGAGAGGAUGAUCAGGAACACCGGAACUGGGACACGGUCCGGACUCCUACGGGAGGCAGCAGUGGGGAAUAUUUGGCAAGGGGGGCAACCCUGAUCCAGCCAUGCCGCGGGUGUGAAGAAGGCCUUCGGGUUGUAAAGCACUUUAAGUGGGGAGAAAGGUUCGGCAGUUAAUACCUGCCGGAAGUGAUGUUACCCACAGAAUAAGCACCGGCUAACUCUGUGCCAGCCGCCGCCGUAA
This 497-nucleotide ribosomal RNA is filed under the name uncultured bacterium. RNAcentral's name for it is "partial 16S ribosomal RNA". It matches the Rfam family "Bacterial small subunit ribosomal RNA", at positions 29 to 523 of the family's 1533-position model. The record is from RNAcentral.